AAUCAACGCUGGCGGCGCGCUUAACACAUGCAAGUCGAACGAGAAAGCGGGGGCAACCUCGUGAGUAAAGUGGCGUACGGGUGAGUAACACGUGGGUAAUCUACCUCUUAGUGGGGAAUAACGCUGGGAAACCGGCGCUAAUACCGCAUAAGCCCGGGAGGGGAAAGCAGCAAUGCGCUGAGAGAGGAGCCCGCGGCCGAUUAGCUAGUUGGUGAGGUAAAAGCCCACCAAGGCAAAGAUCGGUAGCCGGCCUGAGAGGGCACACGGCCACACUGGCACUGAAACACGGGCCAGACUCCUACGGGAGGCAGCAGUGGGGAAUCUUGCACAAUGGGGGAAACCCUGAUGCAGCGACGCCGCGUGAGCGAUGAAGCCCUUCGGGGUGUAAAGCUCUUUCGGCAGGGACGAAACAUGACGGUACCUGCAGAAGCAGCUGCGGCUAACUACGUGCCAGCAGCCGCGGUAAUACGUAGGCAGCGAGCGUUGUUCGGAGUUACUGGGCGUAAAGGGUGCGUAGGCGGUCCCUUAAGUUUGGUGUGAAAUCUCCCGGCUCAACUGGGAGGGUGCGCCGGAUACUGAGGGGCUAGAGUGCGGGAGAGGAAAGUGGAAUUCCUGGUGUAGCGGUGAAAUGCGUAGAUAUCAGGAGGAACACCGGUGGUGUAAACGGCUUUCUGGACCGUAACUGACGCUGAGGCACGAAAGCGUGGGGAGCAAACAGGAUUAGAUACCCUGGUAGUCCACGCCCUAAACGAUGCACGUUUGGUGUGGGUGAUUCAGUUCAUCCGUGCCGGAGCUAACGCGUUAAACGUGCCGCCUGGGGAGUACAGUCGCAAGGCUGA
This 839-nucleotide ribosomal RNA is filed under the name uncultured Acidobacteriota bacterium. RNAcentral describes it as "bacterial SSU rRNA". It matches the Rfam family "Bacterial small subunit ribosomal RNA", at positions 28 to 897 of the family's 1533-position model. The record is from RNAcentral. Lineage: Bacteria; Pseudomonadati; Acidobacteriota.